CAUCUGCGCCACCUUAAUUCCCGCAAACUCCGUGAUCACAUAUUUUUCCGUGUCGUGCUGGAUGAGAACCUGCGUUCAGGUUCGAGCCGAGCGAAGCGAGACGACAACGCACAGCGUUGCCCGCAGGGCGAGGCCCAAGGCCGAGUCAAUCCUGCACGACCCACCA
Molecule: small RNA, 166 nt
Filed under: Staphylococcus hominis VCU122
Lineage: Bacteria; Bacillati; Bacillota; Bacilli; Caryophanales; Staphylococcaceae
Description: RtT RNA
Rfam family: RtT RNA (bases 41-166)
About the family: This family represents a bacterial cis-regulatory element known as RtT RNA.
Source: RNAcentral